RNAcentral lists this microRNA (22 nucleotides) under Heligmosomoides polygyrus. Its description in RNAcentral is "hpo-miR-235-5p". Its record names the gene hpo-miR-235-5p. Lineage: Eukaryota; Metazoa; Nematoda; Chromadorea; Rhabditida; Heligmosomidae. The record is from miRBase by way of RNAcentral.
AGGCCUGGUCGUCUGCCAUGUU